RNAcentral lists this ribosomal RNA (498 nucleotides) under uncultured bacterium. RNAcentral describes it as "partial 16S ribosomal RNA". It matches the Rfam family "Bacterial small subunit ribosomal RNA", at positions 30 to 523 of the family's 1533-position model. The record is from RNAcentral.
AUUGAACGCUGGCGGCAUGCCUUACACAUGCAAGUCGAACGGUAACAGGUCUUCGGAUGCUGACGAGUGGCGAACGGGUGAGUAAUACAUCGGAACGUGCCUAGUAGUGGGGGAUAACUACUCGAAAGAGUGGCUAAUACCGCAUGAGAUCUACGGAUGAAAGCAGGGGAUCGCAAGACCUUGUGCUACUAGAGCGGCCGAUGGCAGAUUAGGUUGUUGGUGGGAUAAAAGCUGACCAAGCCGACGAUCUGUAGCUGGUCUGAGAGGACGAUCAGCCACACUGGGACUGAGACACGGCCCAGACUCCUACGGGAGGCAGCAGUGGGGAAUUUUGGACAAUGGGCGCAAGCCUGAUCCAGCAAUGCCGCGUGCAGGAUGAGGGCCUUCGGGUUGUAAACUGCUUUUGUACGGAACGAAAAGCCCCGGGUUAAUACCCUGGGGUCAUGACGGUACCGUAAGAAUAAGCACCGGCUAACUACGUGCCAGCCGCCGCCGUAA